UACAGAGGGUGCUAGCGUUGUUCGGAAUCAUUGGGCGUAAAGGGCGUGUAGGCGGUUUGUUAAGUCAUGUGUGAAAUCCCUCGGCUCAACCGGGGAACGACGCAUGAAACUGGCAAGCUAGAGUACCAAAGAGGGGGGUGGAAUUCCCGGUCUAGCGGUGAAAUGCGUAGAUAUCGGGAGGAACACCUGUGGCGAAGGCGGCCCCCUGGUUGGAUACUGACGCUGAUACGCGAAAGCGUGGGGAGCAAACAGG
Molecule: ribosomal RNA, 253 nt
Filed under: uncultured bacterium
Lineage: Bacteria
Description: partial 16S ribosomal RNA
Rfam family: Bacterial small subunit ribosomal RNA
Source: RNAcentral